GUGUAGUGAAGUGGUAAGUAGCAGGGCUCAUAACCCAGAGGUUGCCGGUUCAAUUCACUGCAGUUACACA
Molecule: non-coding RNA, 70 nt
Organism: Megalops atlanticus (tarpon)
Lineage: Eukaryota; Metazoa; Chordata; Actinopteri; Elopiformes; Megalopidae
Source: the annotation of a GenBank genome assembly